UACGUAGGGGGCAAGCGUUGUCCGGAAUUACUGGGCGUAAAGGGCGCGUAGGUGGCUUCUCAAGCGCGCGGUGAAAGCCCGGGGCUCAACCCCGGGUCGGCCGUGCGGACUGGGAGGCUCGAGCACUGUAGGGGCGGGUGGAAUUCCGGGUGUAGCGGUGGAAUGCGUAGAGAUCCGGAAGAACACCGGUGGCGAAGGCGGCCCGCUGGGCAGGAAGGCUCGCAAGAGCCGGCUGACACUGAGGCGCGACAGCGUGGGGAGCAAACAGG
This 269-nucleotide ribosomal RNA is filed under the name uncultured bacterium. Its description in RNAcentral is "partial 16S ribosomal RNA". It matches the Rfam family "Bacterial small subunit ribosomal RNA", at positions 524 to 776 of the family's 1533-position model. The record is from RNAcentral.